Molecule: ribosomal RNA, 247 nt
Filed under: uncultured bacterium
Lineage: Bacteria
Description: partial 16S ribosomal RNA
Rfam family: Bacterial small subunit ribosomal RNA
Source: RNAcentral
UGCCUACGGGGGGCAGCAGUGAGGAAUAUUGGUCAAUGGGCGGAAGCCUGAACCAGCCAAGUCGCGUGAGGGAAUAAGGCCCUACGGGUCGUAAACCUCUUUUGCCGGGGAGCAAGGGCGGGGACGUGUCCCGGCCCGGAGAGUACCCGGAGAAAAAGCAUCGGCUAACUCCGUGCCAGCAGCCGCGGUAAUACGUAGGUGGCAAGCGUUAUCCGGAAUUAUUGGGCGUAAAGAGGGAGCAGGCGGC